Acanthosepion pharaonis is the source of this 104-nucleotide non-coding RNA. Lineage: Eukaryota; Metazoa; Mollusca; Cephalopoda; Sepiida; Sepiidae. The record is from the annotation of a GenBank genome assembly.
UUACGACUAUACCACGUUGAAACACCAGUUCUUAUACGACCACGGAAGUUAAGCAACGUCGAUCCUGGUCAGUACAUAGAUGGGUGACCGCUUGGGAAGUAUUG